AUCUUUUAAUCUCCGACCUUGUGUGAUGAUGCUUAUGGAGUACUACCACAAAUGUAACUGGUACUGGUCCACAAAAAAUCAGUCAUCAAUCACAUUUGUGGUAGACCAGAAAUGUCAGCAUAUUUUAGGUGUUAUCAUGUUUUCUCCAUUAUUCCUCUACACCCAAUCCUCUAGACCAAAAGACAUCUGAUACUUGAUCAGCCAUCAGCGAAGCUUGUUCGAACAAAGGUGAAGGUAACUUGCGAUUCUACUAUAUAUAUCCAUAAGUGGAGCUUCUUCAAACAAAUAUGAAGGCAUAUUACUAUUUUGCUAAGCAUUGUUCAGCAAUUUUGACCUCCUCUUUAUUGAUGUACUAUGGUGAUUCUUUAUUUGUAAAUAAGUAACAUUUAAGGAGAUUAGUAUGAUUUAGAUCAAGUGAGAAAACAAAGAACUAUAAUUAAACCGUGCUAUAAAUGUAAAUUAAAAAAAGAAGAAAACUUUAUGGAAGCUAAAUAAAAUCAAGUUUAUUAAACUUAAACAUCUAAAAUAACAAGUUUCUAAGUAAGAACAAGUUGAAGCUACUCUAUAUGUUUAGAAUUGUCUACUAAGAUGAGUUGCCU
Solanum pennellii is the source of this 599-nucleotide long non-coding RNA. RefSeq lists it as uncharacterized. NCBI's taxonomy places the organism in Eukaryota, Viridiplantae, Streptophyta, Magnoliopsida, Solanales, Solanaceae. The transcript is spliced from 2 exons. The record is from RefSeq and is a predicted model, not a curated record.